UAUGCGUAGUUUCCUUAACCCGGAACACCAACACCAAUUUUUACACGCAGACAAGCUGAUUGGCGUAACGAUGAGCUCGGCCAGAGUGAUGGUUUGCGCCAUGGCUUUCGUUCUGGCGUGCUUGGCAGCCAUGCCGCCUGCAUCCGCAGCCUUGGGAGACGGAGGGAUACUGUCGUAUAUCCCGUCCGCCGCCUCUAUAGCUCACUGCCCCUCCAGCUGCGGGGACGUCAAUAUCUCCUACCCCUUCGGCAUAGGGGCAGGCUGCUUCCGGCAAGGCUUCGAGGUUACCUGCGACAACACCACUCAACCUCCAAAGCUGUUUCUGAUGAAUAACAGCACAACUGAGAUCACUAGGAUAUAUUAUGGGUUUGUUGAGGUCCCUAUGUUCUUCAACAGUUCCUUUGGACCAGGUAGGAACAAUAUGUCUUGGGAGUGGGAGGCUCCCGCUAAGGGUAUUACUAUUAACAGCUAUAACAAUUUCUUUGUCCUUGGAUGUGACUUUGAUGUCAACUUGUUCGAUUAUGAGAGAAACCCUGUCGGCUCCUGCAUGAGUAGGUGCCACGGGGGGGUAUUGCCAACUCGAGGGCCUUGCAACGGGAUUGGUUGCUGUUUCAUCAGUUUACGGAAUGCCAUGUCAGGUUUUCAGGCAACAUUUUUUCGGGCUGAUGGUGUGGCAGGACAAUCAUCAGAUUCUAUGUACCCUCGCAUCAUGGCUUUCAUAUCAUAUUCCGAUGACAUGGAUAACAUGACUAACCUUUUAUUGGGUUGGACAAACACAAGCAAGAUCGAUGGUGCUGUUGUUGAGGUUGCCAUCACGGAUCAACCAAGCUGCGAAAGCGCGCGAAUGAACAACGCAAGUUAUGCUUGUGCCACCGACAGCAUUUGUAGAAAUGCGUCUUCAUAUGGGGGUUACAAAUGUCACUGCUCUGGUUACCAGGACGGCAAUCCUUACCUUUCCGAAGGUUGCACGCAAGGAGAUUACAACCCCGAGCCUAAAGAACACUGCCGGAGGUCAUGUGGAAACAUGAACAUUUCCUUCCCUUUUGGGCUCGAAGAAGGUUGUUUUGGAAACGAAAAGUUCCGACUUAAUUGUACAGCAGCAGGUGACACGCUUUUUAGCACAGGAGGUACACAGUACCGCGUGACUGGUGUCUCAUUAGAAGAUGGAACUUUGAUUGUAAGAAACAUGCUAAGCAAUGCGAGCACCGGAAAAGAAGAGAUAAUAGUUUCGACUGGCGAGAACGGAGAUAUCUGGGACUGGGACUUCAGCGGCCCCGUGGAAGAUCGAUUUGAUUUUUCUAUGGAAUAUGUCGACAUUGUCAUAAGAUGGGCGAUUACCAAUUCAACUUGUGAACAAGCUUUGCAGAAUAUAACUAAGUAUGCAUGCCGCAGUGAAAACAGUUAUUGCCUAAACGUGGCCCAUGGGAAAAUAUUUAUGGGAUAUCGUUGCAAGUGUUCUCGUGGCUUCAAAGGAAACCCGUACGUACAGGAAGGCUGCACAGGUACAUCCGGCUUCUCCUUCGAUAUUGAUGAAUGCUCCCUGCCAAACUACUGCAAUGGUACAUGUCAUAACUUUCCUGGGACCUAUAAGUGCACACCAUGCCCUCAUAAUAAAGAAUUUGAUUCGACAAAGAAGCUGUGUAUUACAUCAACUAAGCAACGGAAUCUUCUUUUGGGUAUUGCAAUUGGAAUCAGUUGUGGCAUUGGCUCCAUAAUUAUUGCAUUGGGUGUAAUCGUACUUGCCAAUAAGUGGAAAAGGGGCAUCCAAAAGAGAAUCAGAAGAGCACACUUCAAGAAAAAUCAAGGCCUGCUAUUGGAGCAAUUGAUCUCUGAUGAAAGCACCACAAGCAAAACUAAAAUAUUCUCAUUGGAGGAACUAGAGGAGGCAACAAACAACUUUGAUGCUACUCGUGUUCUUGGUCAUGGAGGACAUGGCACGGUUUAUAAAGGGAUUCUAUCUGACCAACGUGUGGUGGCCAUAAAAAAAUCCAAAAUAGUGGAACAAAUAGAGAUAGACCAGUUUAUCAAUGAGGUUGUCAUUUUGUCUCAAAUCAUCCAUCGCAAUGUGGUGAAACUGUUUGGUUGCUGCCUAGAAGAUGAGGUGCCCAUGCUUGUCUAUGAGUUCAUUUCAAAUGGCACUCUGUAUGGACUUCUUCACUCUGAUACUACAAUAAAAUGCUUGCUUUCAUGGGAUGAUCGCAUUAGGAUUGCAAUGGAAGCAGCAGGGGCACUUGCUUAUCUACACUCAGCUGCUACAAUACCAAUUUUCCACAGAGAUGUUAAGUCUUCAAAUAUACUCUUGGAUGACAACUUCACCACAAAGGUCUCAGACUUUGGUGCUUCAAGAUCUCUUUCGCUUGAUGAGACUCACGUGGUUACGAUUGUCCAAGGUACAUUCGGCUACUUGGACCCAGAAUACUAUCAUACCGGUCAGCUUACUGAAAAGAGUGAUGUAUAUAGUUUUGGAGUAAUACUUGUUGAACUUUUGAUAAGGAAGAAGCCAAUUUUUAUCAAUGAUUUAGGUGCUAAACAAAGCCUAUCACAUUACUUCAUUGAAGGACUUCAUGCAGGGUCCCUUGUAGAAAUACUGGAUAAACAAGUUGUGGAAGAGGCAGACCAGGAAGAGAUUAAUGAAAUCGCCUCACUUACAGAAGCAUGCUUAAGGGUCAAAGGAGGAGACAGACCGACUAUGAAAGAAGUAGAUAUGAGGUUGCAAUUUCUAAGAACAAAGAGACUUAGAAAAGGUUUAGAUGAAAAAGAUGCAGAUAUUGAGCCUUUGUUAUGCCCACAAGAUAAGAACUUAUAUGGGCAUAUCGAUCUUGUCAAUGCUGGGAGCUCUGGGUGCUACAGUUUGGAGCAAGAAUUUGCAUCUUUGCCACGCUAAUUACAUUUGUGCAAGAUAACCGAUGGCCUGCUUGGAUGUUGAAUAUAAUGCAUCUGAGACUUGCCGGACCCUGUUGGAGAAGUUGAUACUUGAUGGGCACCUUAACGUUCGGGUGUUCGAAGAACCUGUGCCUACAGCUCCGACCAUGCUGCAGGGCCUGUUCAAGCAAGACCCCAGUAAAGAAGCAUCCUUGUGUAGAAAGCGCUUCUUCGCUAAUCCAAUGAGCACAUCCCUGCUGUAAGAGGCAAUGGGCUUGUUCUAAAUUCACAGUCGUGAGGGGAUCAUGGUACGGAAUGCAGGAAUGCUUAAAUGCUACCCUCUCCGGAAGUUCUAUCAAUAGUGCUUAUCAAACUGGGCCAUGGCUUUGUUCAUGGCUCAGGCCGGUGUGUCAUUUCCUCCAGGGCCUGGCAAUUAGCAUAGUCGCGCCGUAGGUGACUGGGCCAUCGCUCUGUACGAGUACUGCAGCCACCGAGUCUUUAUGUUAGCAUCCCGUUUCUCUGGUGCGGAAGACACAGGAGAAUCAUCAUGCCUAACGUCACUCCUCACUAUGAAAAUUGGGAGGCGAUGCGUCUGCUCAAUCAAAAGUGAGACUCUGAUGUUAGUGUGCACUAUCGAAGGAUAUAUUCCUUUGGGAUUGCUUUAGAACGCCGGCGUGCUGGCGUGAACCUAAGCAUUUUGGUUGUCGUUUUCCAUCCCUAGGAACGAUGACGCGAUGAUCGAGUCAGGGUGCUACCACCUUGCCGACUGCACUUAGACCUGAUUGAUUCAUUGAUAGCAACCUCUGUAAUUCUCGCUGCUUUGGUCGUUUUCCACACUUGCAGAGCAUCUACAAAGCGGAAGGCCACCGACCUGAUUCAUCCUCCCUAAUCCCUCCCAUGCUAAAUUUGGGAACCAUCACUAUUAGGUCAACUUUCACCACUUAUAACGACGGCAAUGGUGUUUAUGUUUCUGCUAUC
Molecule: RNA transcript, 3840 nt
Organism: Setaria italica (foxtail millet)
Lineage: Eukaryota; Viridiplantae; Streptophyta; Magnoliopsida; Poales; Poaceae
Gene name: wall-associated receptor kinase 5
Exons: 5
Source: RefSeq, a predicted model, not a curated record